This is a small nucleolar RNA of Ornithorhynchus anatinus (platypus), 138 nucleotides long. The record is from RefSeq and is a predicted model, not a curated record. NCBI's taxonomy places the organism in Eukaryota, Metazoa, Chordata, Mammalia, Monotremata, Ornithorhynchidae.
UCCUUCUCAGGGUUACACCUGGAGAGUUUCCAGUACUCUUCCAGGCUCGGCUACAGGAGGGAGAGUCAAGCAGAGGUCUACCCAUUCCAUUCUUAGCUUGGGAAGUGGCUAGCAAGUGGAAGGCAAUCUGCUACAAAU